This 86-nucleotide transfer RNA is filed under the name Lachnospiraceae bacterium. Its description in RNAcentral is "tRNA-Ser". It matches the Rfam family "tRNA". From Rfam's summary of the family: Transfer RNA (tRNA) molecules are approximately 80 nucleotides in length. Their secondary structure includes four short double-helical elements and three loops (D, anti-codon, and T loops). Further hydrogen bonds mediate the characteristic L-shaped molecular structure. tRNAs have two regions of fundamental functional importance: the anti-codon, which is responsible for specific mRNA codon recognition, and the 3' end, to which the tRNAs corresponding amino acid is attached (by aminoacyl-tRNA synthetases). tRNAs cope with the degeneracy of the genetic code in two manners: having more than one tRNA (with a specific anti-codon) for a particular amino acid; and 'wobble' base-pairing, i.e. permitting non-standard base-pairing at the 3rd anti-codon position. RNAcentral also lists the same sequence under 1 other name. Lineage: Bacteria; Bacillati; Bacillota; Clostridia; Lachnospirales; Lachnospiraceae. The record is from RNAcentral.
GGAGAGUUGGCCGAGUGGUUUAAGGCGCCGGUCUUGAAAACCGGUGUUUCCGAAAGGAACCGUGGGUUCGAAUCCCACAUUCUCCG